GGGCACUUGGCACAGUGGUAGCGCGCACGCUUCGCAAUUGAGAUUGCGUGAGGUCGGGAGUUCAAUCCUCCCAGUGUCCA
Molecule: transfer RNA, 80 nt
Rfam family: tRNA
About the family: Transfer RNA (tRNA) molecules are approximately 80 nucleotides in length.
Source: Rfam